UACGUAGGUGACAAGCGUUGUCCGGAAUUAUUGGGCGUAAAGGGAGUGCAGGCGGUUGGAAUAGUCUGAUGUGAAAGCCCACGGCCUAACCGUGGAAGGUCAUUGGAAACUGUCCAACUUGAAUGCAGAAGAGGUAAGUGGAAUUCCAUGUGUAGCGGUGAAAUGCGUAGAUAUAUGGAGGAACACCAGUGGCGAAGGCGGCUCUCUGGUCUGUAACUGACGCUGAGGCUCGAAAGCGUGGGGAGCAAACAGG
Molecule: ribosomal RNA, 253 nt
Filed under: uncultured bacterium
Lineage: Bacteria
Description: partial 16S ribosomal RNA
Rfam family: Bacterial small subunit ribosomal RNA
Source: RNAcentral